Long non-coding RNA from Zingiber officinale, 117 nucleotides. RefSeq lists it as uncharacterized. Lineage: Eukaryota; Viridiplantae; Streptophyta; Magnoliopsida; Zingiberales; Zingiberaceae. The record is from RefSeq and is a predicted model, not a curated record. The transcript has 3 exons.
CCACACAAAACCCUUAGAAGAUCCGAGCUCGAGUGGAGCACGGUGACCUGCCGAUACUCGGAGAUUUUUGCUGUAUAUAAGUUUUGCAGACACAGGGAUCCUUUUGAUAUUACUGUU